UCCAGCACAACCGAUGUAUAAUCAGUAUGAGCAGCAAAAUCAAGGAGUUCAACAACAAUCUUUAGCCGAUAUUAUUGCAGAAGUGGUGAGGGAACAAUUUGGGAUGAUAAUGGGAUCAUGUAUCGACACACAUACCCAGAAUAUUUUGAUAGAGUGCCAUUACCAAGUCGAUACAAGAUUCCAAAUUUUCAAAGUUCUUACACUGCAAGAAUCUAUGAUGAAAAAAAUUCGUCAUGGAUCACUGAAAAUUCGUCAUAGGAAUUUAUCUGUGACGAUUAUACUUAUCGUCAUCUAUUGAGCGUCACAGAUUAAAUCUGCCGACGUUCUCUUCGAAAUCGUCACGAAUCAGCACAAUCUAUGACGUUUUUUAACCAUCAUAAAACGCUUAUGGGCUAAUGUAGUCCAGUCCAGGCCCAACCUUUGUGACGAAAUUAAACGUCACAUAUGGUUGCCACAUGGCAGCCAACAUGGCAGGUGCACGUGUGUGAUGAUGUGGCACUGAUGACGUGGCAGCUAAUGUUAGCAAUUUUUUUAUACAGGCCAUUAUUUUUUUACGGCCCAUCAUUUCUUUGACAGCCCAUUAAUUAUUUAACAGCUGCCCAUUAUUUUUUUUGGAAUUGGUCCAUUUUAAAAUAGGCCCAUUUCAAAACUGGCCCAUUUUGUCAACCAGCUAUCAGAUCAAAGCCCACUAAAUAAGCCCAUUAAAUUUGAGCCCACCAAAUUCAAUCCAAUUUCUCAUAUAUCUCAGAUUCAAACCUAACAACUGAUACCAUAUCAGAUUCAACUAAUAAUAGAUACAACCAGAAUACAACAGAAUUUAAAUAAUAGUUCAUCUCAGAUUCAACCUAAUAACAGGAGGCGGCCUGAGAAACACACAUUUUCAAUCAAUCAAUCCAAGCCAAGAAAGUAAGCGCGCAGAUUGGGAUCACGCUUGAUCUGGAUCAAGACGAGGACGACCAGAAGGAAUCAGAUACCCUGGAAAACAUGACAAGAAAAACUCAGUAGUGUUCAGUAUGAGAUAAAGACAGUGAACAAACUUUUUGAAAUAGAUAUGAGCCAACGUCUCAGUGAUCAAAGGAUGUGGGAGAAAAACUUAACUUUGUUAUUUUCACGUCCAUAAAUCAUGGCAUUAAAAAGAUUAAUAAGCAGAAUAUGUGCUGGCAUACCAUUUUCUCACAUCACAUGGUAGACUAUAUAUUUUCUCCCCAAAGCUACCACAUAACACACACUGGUAGCACUUUGUAGCAACAAAGGCUGCUCAAAAUAUAUAUAAAAAAGGUGAUGGAUGACAAGGAGAAUCUCAGUAUCAAUUUAUAGACAAGAAAUAGGCAUCCAAGUUCAAGUCAACCAACUGAGCUUAAGUUCAGUUCCUAUUUUCAAAAUAAAUGAAACAUAUAUGUCUUUGUCCUUCUGUAAUUCUAUUAGGCGAUUUUAAAUGCUGAUGGCAAGAGCUCUCCUAGAUAAUCAGCACAGAGCUCACUGCUACAUUUCUAUGCGCAUAUGGCAUUUUUAAUGUUGGUCGUUCUGCUACAAAGGAAAUCUUAGAGCUACUUCUGGGAACUACAUGCACAACUAAAAUCUAACAUUCAGAGAAACAGAUUUUGUACACUCAAAGCGUGCCCAUCCGUACCAUUAAGCCACUGAUUAAAAACAUUCAGAGAAACAGAUUUUGUACACUCAAAGCGUGCCCAUCCGUACCAUUAAGCCACUGAUUAAAAAAAUGGAGGACCAACUUACAGAGAGCACAUAUGGAGCAUUUGGUUUUAUGUCAGAUAAAGACAAUCAUCCAACUCUAGCAAUACAUACUCAUCCUCUUCUUUUCCCCCUUCUUCGCAAAACUGUGUACAUUUCCCGUUAGAAAUUAAGAAAAUAUUGCUUUCAGUAAGAACAAUGACCGAAAGAAAUCAAGCACACUCAAAUUAACUAACUAAUCCAUCCAUUUCAUAUUGUUUCUCCUUAGCUGCCAUGUGCAAAAUCCCAGUAAUAAGUCUAAGAAAGUUAAUGAGAAAUGCCCGCACAUGAUUGCAUGCAUGCUAUAAUUAUAAAGGUCUAUGUUUCUGUUCAUAGACUCCCUAAUUAUUCAAAUUGAUCUCUUUAUUAAAAAUAUGCUACUCAUGGACUCCUACUAGAGGCUGGGGCGCGCCAUGCCGCGCUGCCUGUGGCGGCAUACAACUCGGUUGAUUAGGUUAAAUCAUUUGCUUUCAGACUAAAUCAGUGAUUGUCUAAGACAACCAACAAAGAACUAUCGAGCAAAGUUGUAGCACAUGAAUCGAACAGCAUACACAGGUUACCCAUUGAUGACUAAUUUAAUAGAAAUGGUGCUAAAGAUUCUGAUGAGAACAAAACUCACUCACCAUUACAAAUUUACCAUCCUAAAGAUAAUGCAUGAAGUCGCACAUAAAAAAUCAGAACAGCCCCUUAGAACAUGCUUUUUUAGUAACAGUUCAAUGUGCAUAUCAUUCAAACCAACAACUCCAAUAAUAUUUGGUUCAUGAGCAUGUGAACAUCGAAUCUAAGAUUGGGUCUUAUUGUAUAAGGAAUCACACUCUACUUUAUAUUUUCCGAGUCACGAUUGCAUCCUGAUAAACUACAGAUCUUCGGAAAUGAACAUGUAUAGCAGCACGAAUGACAAAUCAAAGUUGUAACACAUGAGAAGAGAAAGAAAAUGGAUUGGGUACUGAUACAGGGUAGCAUCAGCUGAAUCUCAAGCAACAACAUAUAGCUUCACUGUAACAAAAGGAUGGAUGCACAUGAGUUUAAGCAUAAUAGUGAAGAAUCUCAUAAAACAAAAUAAUGUACUUUUCAACCAGUCGUCACAGUUGAAUUUUGCAUCAUCCCCAAAUCAAGUAAGUAACCAUCUUGCACAAUGCACGAUCAUGUAAUAGAUAGAAGUUUCUUGAGUACGGACAUAUACCCGAGCUCACCGCCGCCGCCCGCCACCGCGCUGGAUCCGUCGCGCCCAACCUCGCCGACGUGCGCCGCCUUCGUCGUUGCCGAGGUCGUCGUCGCGCCCGAGCUAGCCGCCGCCCGCCGCCGUCGUUGUCGCCGCGCCCGAGCCGGAUCCGCCGCCGUCGUCGUCGCCGAGGUCGUCGUCGUGUCCGAGCUCGCCGCCACCGCUCGCAACCGCUCUGGAUCCGCCGUGCCCGACCUCGCCGCUGCCGCCCGCCACCGUCGUCGACGCCGCGCCCGAGCCGGAUCCGCCGCGCCGCCGCCGCCCACUCCCGCCUCCGGAUCCGGGCGGGACGAGGCCCGCCGCCGCCGGAUCCGGGUGUGACGAGGCCCGCCGCCGCCGGAUCCGGGCGGGACGAGGCCCGCGUCACCGCCCACUCGUCGUCGGGGUCGGCGUCGUCGUUGCCGGGGUCGCGCCUCCUCGUUGUCGUCGGGGUCAGCGCCGCUGCGGAGGGGGCAGCCCGAGCGACGGGGACGAUGCGGCGGCCGCCAGCUGCCGGCACGCGCACGCCGCCCACUCGUGCUCGUCGCCGGAAGAGGAAUAGAAAGAGGGAGAGGAGAGAGAGUGAGAGAGAGGAAGAGAAAGAGUGAGGAGAAGGGGAAAAUAUAAGUGGAGG
RNAcentral lists this long non-coding RNA (3566 nucleotides) under Oryza sativa (Asian cultivated rice). RNAcentral describes it as "long non-coding RNA (OSAT_LNC001491)". The record is from RNAcentral. Lineage: Eukaryota; Viridiplantae; Streptophyta; Magnoliopsida; Poales; Poaceae.